Molecule: long non-coding RNA, 1941 nt
Organism: Parus major (Great Tit)
Lineage: Eukaryota; Metazoa; Chordata; Aves; Passeriformes; Paridae
Exons: 8
Source: RefSeq, a predicted model, not a curated record
AGCCAUACCUGAGGUGGUCAUUUGCCCUGAGAGCUUCACCUGGGGCCUCCACCCACACUCUGUGCUAAGGGGUGGGUCCUUGACUCCAUCUCAGCUCAGACCUGAGGCUCUCCUCUCUCCAAGCUGUGCUGUAGGGAUGUCUGCCCGUGGAUCUUGUUGAUGUGGUUCCUGAAUUGUUGGCUGUUCUUGUCUUGACCCUGGAUGUUCCUUGAGCUUGAUGAUGACUGGACUGUGUCUGACCCUGCCCUGAAUUCCCAGCCUGUGCUGUGGAUUCAGGUGAAGUUGGCUGCCACCUGCACUGCUCUGCUCCCUCCUCUCAGUUUCUGUGGGUCUGAGGCAUGGAGAAACAACAGCACUGAGCUCCACUUACAGCUGACCAAGGCAAUUCAGGAUUGCCUCCUGGAUUGUCAGACCCUGGCUUCUCGAUCCCGCUCAAGCAAGGAUGGAAACCAGCUCUGAAAUGCUUUAGGAGGGAUGCAGGAUCCAGAGGUGGGAUGCCAAGGUCUGGAGUCUCGCACCUCCCCUCCAGUUUUGGGAUGGCUGCUCUAAGGCCUGAAGACACUUCUAGAGCCAUCCCCUGAGUCACCAAACUCCACCUUUCCACCAGAAAAAGCUUUUGCAUCAUCUCCAGAGCCAGGAGCUGCUGCCUCACACCGGAGCACUCUGGAUCUGUCUCCCAGAAAUUCAGUGUCUGCCCAGCAACAUCCUGCCCUGAAGGAGAGAAGUUCCCAGCCCCUGCCAAGGAUCAACAUCAAGAACAUGUCCCACAGAGACAAGGCCACACAGCAGCUUCCAUGUGUCAGCAUUCCCACCAAGUCCUUCCAACAGGCAGCCCAAAUUCAGCUCCUCACACACAUAGAGUUACGGAGAAAUUGCUGUCUAACAGAUCCUUUGUGGACUUCCGACCAAAACCAUCCAGUGCAACAAAUGAACACAGGACAGUCAGAAGGGAAGGGGUAGCCAGCUGACCAAAUCCCAGGCUCAUCCAGGCACCAUCUCCCACAGCAUCAUUCAGGAACUGAGAUGCCAAACCACCAUACCCAGCAUGGAAAAACACAAAACAAAAAAACAAAGCUUUAUAUCUUCUCUGGUUUUAUUCACAAACAUUCCCCGGAGCCCGGCACUGUUCGUGCCCCAGGCGUGUGCAGAGUCCCAGGGAGGAACCUGCCCCAGGGACAGAUCUGCUGUCAGCAGGGGCUCACAGAAGACCCAGAGAGUCUGUUCAGGGCACAGACUGUCUCUGAUGGAGCAGCUUUGUGUUUAUGCAAACCCGAUGACUCCAGUUGGUGAUUAUCUGCUGCUGGCAUCCCUCUGCUGCCAAGAAGCCUCUACCAACAUCCCUGUCCUGCUGUUCCAGGCACUGCAGAUUUGUAGAGCCUGAGGCAGUCCCAGCCAGGCAGGAGGUGGGCAGAGAGAAGGGAACUGCCUUGCUAAAGGUCACAGAGCAGAAGGAAAACCAGCACCCUGAACCCUGCAAAGGCUCCAGACAAUUUGUCAAGCAGCCACUCAUCCCAGUGUUAUCUCAGAGUCCGUGCUGGCCAAAUCUGUCGAGGACAUGAGCAACAGCAUUUUAAUGGUACCCAUAAAUAGUUUAUUUAAGGCUGAGACUUGGUGACUACAGCACUGUCAUUAUCAUGCCUGUAAUGAACCGUCUCUGAUAAUAAAUAACCCAGGAUAACUCCCAACAUCAAAAAUGUUUCUGUCCUAAGUUGCUCCCAUCUCUGUCCUAUCAAUCAGAAAGUCUGAGUGUUUGCAACAGCUCAUACAGUAAAUUGACUUCAGCUUUCUUCUUUCCAAAUACUGAAACUGGCUUUUUCCAGGGCACUGCCAUGUAAUUUACAGCUCUAUCACCACCUCCUUAAUAGCUGCCAAGUUCUUUGGGGUCCUUUGAAAGUGAACAUAAUAAAAAGAUACGAGCUGAGACUGACCAUGGGUUUCAAG